Molecule: long non-coding RNA, 283 nt
Organism: Peromyscus maniculatus bairdii (prairie deer mouse)
Lineage: Eukaryota; Metazoa; Chordata; Mammalia; Rodentia; Cricetidae
Source: RefSeq, a predicted model, not a curated record
GUGGGUGGCAGGAAAGCAGCAUGGAGAGGGGCCACACUGAACAGCGGUUCCCAAGCCUGUGACAAGGACAGGAGUGCCUGAACCAGGAAGACUCUGACAAGCCAGGAAGCUUAAGGAAGCCAAAGACGCUGAACCUGAGGAAGGACUGACUCAUCGGCCACUGCCCAUUGUGCCCACUGCUGACUCCACCCAAGCCAGCAGGCAGCCCCUGAGCACCAAGUCUGUCUAUCCCGUCAACUGCCCCUCAGGCUGGAGGUGCAGCUCAGUGCAGAGAGCUGGAUUG